RNAcentral lists this ribosomal RNA (83 nucleotides) under Priestia megaterium. RNAcentral describes it as "partial 16S ribosomal RNA". It matches the Rfam family "Bacterial small subunit ribosomal RNA", at positions 1 to 81 of the family's 1533-position model. Lineage: Bacteria; Bacillati; Bacillota; Bacilli; Caryophanales; Bacillaceae. The record is from RNAcentral.
UUUCUUCGGAGAGUUUGAUCCUGGCUCAGGAUGAACGCUGGCGGCGUGCCUAAUACAUGCAAGUCGAGCGAACUGAUUAGAAG